This 1441-nucleotide ribosomal RNA is filed under the name Nanobdellati archaeon. RNAcentral describes it as "bacterial SSU rRNA". It matches the Rfam family "Archaeal small subunit ribosomal RNA", at positions 1 to 1316 of the family's 1478-position model. The record is from RNAcentral. Lineage: Archaea; Nanobdellati.
ACUCCAGUUGAUCCUGCUGGAGGACACUGCUUUUGGAGUUCGAAUAAAUCAUGCAAGUCAGAGAGCAAUCUCGGCGAACGGCUUAGUAACACGUGGUCAACCUGCCCUAAGGCGGGGGAUAACCUUGGGAAACUGAGGAUAAUACCCCAUAGGGAACAGACACUGGAACGUUCUGUUCUUGAAAGGCUUGCCACCUUAGGAUGGGACUGCGGCAGAUUAGCUAGUUGGUGAGGUAACGGCCCACCAAGGCUUUGAUCUGUAGGGGCAAUGGAAGUUGUGGCCCCAAGAAGGGUACUGAGACAAGGACCCUAGCCCUACGGGGUGCAGCAGAGACGAAACCUAUGCAAUGCGCGAAAGCGUGACAUGGGGACUCCAAGUGCUCAUGCGAAAGUAUGAGCUUUUGUCAAGCGUAAAUAACUUGGCGAAUAAGGACCGGGCAAUACCCGUGCCAGCCGCCACGGUAAUACGGGAGGUUCAAGUGGUGUCCGCGAAUACUGGGCUUAAAGCGUCCGUAGCCGGCCUGGUAAGUCCUUAGUGAAAGCUCAUCGCUCAACGGUGAGAAGUGCUAUGGAUACUGCUGGGCUUGGAGGCGGGAGAGGUAAGAGGUACGUUAGGGGUAGCGGUUAAAUGUGUUGAUCCUUAACGGACCACCAGUAGCGAAGGCGUCUUACCAGAACGCGCUCGACGGUCAGGGACGAAGGCUAGGGGAGCGACCCGGAUUAGAUACCCGGUUAGUCCUAGCAGUAAAUUAUGCAGACUAUGUGUCGUGCCAUCUACAUGGUGGUGCGGUGCCGCAGGGAAACCGUUAAGUCUGCCGCCUGGGGAGUACGGUCGCAAGGCUGAAAACACCUCGACUAGCGUCUCGGAUUAUGCUGGUCGAGUGUCAGCAUACUUAAAGGAAUUGGCGGGGGAGCACCACAAUGGGUGGAUAAGUCAAAAAGUGAUUAUGUCGCUUUUGGCUACACAGGCUGCGGUUUAAUUGGAUACAACGCCGGACAUCUUACCAGAGGUGACAGCAGAAUGAUGGACAGUCCGAAGGGCUUUCCUAACACGCUGAGAGGUGGUGCAUGGCCAUCGUCAGCUCGUGCUGUGAAGUGUCCUGUUAAGUCAGGCAACGAGCGAGACCCACACCAUUAGUUACCAGGAUUCUCAUUACGAGGGUCGGCACACUAAUGGGACUGCCUCAGUUAAUGAGGAGGAAGGAGUGGGCGACUAUAGGUCCGUAUGCCCCGAAUCUUCUGGGCCACACGUGGCAUACAUUGGUAGGUACAAUGGGAUGCUACUCCGAAAGGAGACGCUAAUCUCUUAAAGCCUACCCAAGUUUGGAUCGUGGGCUGUAACUCGCCCACGUGAAAAUGGAAUCCAUAGUAAUCGCGUGUCAUUAAAUCGAGUAAGUUAGGCACACCACCAUUUUGCGGAAGGAUUAAAUAGAUCAUCGUUC